This 65-nucleotide transfer RNA is filed under the name Acidiella didymera. Its description in RNAcentral is "tRNA-Leu". The record is from RNAcentral. Lineage: Eukaryota; Metazoa; Arthropoda; Insecta; Diptera; Tephritidae.
AUUAUUUUGGCAGAUUAGUGCAAUAAAUUUAGAAUUUAUAUAUGUAAUUUUUGUUACAAAUAAUA